UAGGGAAUCUUCCACAAUGGGCGAAAGCCUGAUGGAGCAACGCCGCGUGGGUGAAGAAGGUCUUCGGAUCGUAAAACCCUGUUGUUAGAGAAGAAAGUGCGUGAGAGUAACUGUUCACGUUUCGACGGUAUCUAACCAGAAAGCCACGGCUAACUACGUGCCAGCAGCCGCGGUAAUACGUAGGUGGCAAGCGUUAUCCGGAUUUAUUGGGCGUAAAGGGAACGCAGGCGGUCUUUUAAGUCUGAUGUGAAAGCCUUCGGCUUAACCGGAGUAGUGCAUUGGAAACUGGGAGACUUGAGUGCAGAAGAGGAGAGAGGAACUCCAUGUGUAGCGGUGAAAUGCGUAGAUAUAUGGAAGAACACCAGUGGCGAAAGCGGCUCUCUGGUCUGUAACUGACGCUGAGGUUCGAAAGCGUGGGUAGCAAACAGG
Molecule: ribosomal RNA, 429 nt
Filed under: uncultured bacterium
Lineage: Bacteria
Description: bacterial SSU rRNA
Rfam family: Bacterial small subunit ribosomal RNA
Source: RNAcentral